Long non-coding RNA from Cucurbita maxima (winter squash), 413 nucleotides. RefSeq lists it as uncharacterized. The transcript is spliced from 4 exons. The record is from RefSeq and is a predicted model, not a curated record. NCBI's taxonomy places the organism in Eukaryota, Viridiplantae, Streptophyta, Magnoliopsida, Cucurbitales, Cucurbitaceae.
AGAAGACAGAGAAGAGGGUGGAGUGGUGGAAACGGAGCUUGAGGCACUCGUUAACAACGGUGGGCCGAACGGUUGAGGAAGGGAGUACACCGACGGUUGUUGUCAAGGGAAGUUGGUGGGUCCUUGUGAAGAAGAAGACAUAGGGUGUUGAGAGGAAAGAAAGAUCAAGAAGGAGGUGGGAAGAAGAGGCUAAAAACUGAGGGGGCACGAUCUGACCCGACCCGACCCACCUGAAAAUUCCAAGCUUAGUCAAGGGACACUUGAAGACUCGAUAAAGUUUUGAGAAGUCUACGAUCAGGUUGUCUCGGUUUUCAAAGGACAGAAUCAAACAUUCAUUAAAGAAAUAUUCGUGACAACAACUUAAGUAGCCAGGUAAGUGACUUACUAUCAACAUGAUUAUAUUUGAUGUUGAC